UUGGGGGAUUCUUCCCAGCUGGGAUUCCAGCUGCUAAGGAGCAAGGCUUAAUGGCUGAACCCCUCUUAGGCCAAUAGGAAGGGAUGGGAAAUAGCGGCCAGUGGCACUGUGGCUGCUCCAGACCAGGUUGCAGAGCAUCCGGUGCUCAGGAACACAUCUUCACAGACGGAGGCAAAAAUCUCAGGCAGAUGCCUUCUCCUGGCAGACAUUAUCAACGACGCCAGCUCUUCUAUCUGGAAAGUCCGGAAGGAACAGGCCCUUCCCUGUGGAAGGCGGCUUUCCAAGGUGACCCAACCUCGUCCCAAGCUGGACACAGUCCUCGAGAGAGCGUUCCCAUCUUGCCCAUGAAGUCAUCACCAGCAAUCCUGCAAGGUUAGGCUGUUAUGAAAUCCGAGCCCAAGGUCUGCCCUUGGUCUGUAUCUCCAUCUUGCCUGUGUGUGCAGCCUGCAGGGGCCACGGGGAGGCCCCUGGGAGCUUUCUCUCCAAGAGCGUUGAUUUUCGGGGUGUUUAUCUGUUCCGGAAGAACCAGGCUCAGCACUAACCUGUCUCCUGCUGCGGGGCUCCAGUGCUUUUCAGAGGAGUGGGAUAUAUCUGAAAGCUCGAAACGGGGGACACAUCUCUACCUGUGAUCCUGGUUUCAGUUUAUGGCUCACCAUUCCUAUGUCAGCACCCCCACAGCGGCAGACGCAUCUUUCGUUCCUUGUUCUCAGGCCUGAGAGACACUGCCUGCCCAACCACAUCUUCGCCCAGGUGCUCCUGGUGGAGACAGGUGUGUAACUGGAAGACCGAUGCCCACGGUGGUCCAGGAACCAGGUGGACGGCCAGGAGGACCCUGCCAGGGUCUGUCCAGCUCUGUCUGAGGAAACUCAGCUAUGGGACUCACCCAGCAUCCUGGCCAAGGCUGUCACCCACUCAGGGCCCUGGCCAUGGCUGUGUCCCCUGAAGCCCUGGCUGAAGCUUCUCCUGACUGCACCCCUGCUGUGGCCAAGCAAAUGCAUAGCUCACAGCACUAACUUUCCCCUGACUCCGUGGCGGUUCUACUGCAGCCAUACCUCGCCGUUCUUGGCCGUGGAGUUAUGGUCAGCGCCUCAGUAACGGAUUCUCUCAGGAAUAUUGAAAUCAUGGCGGAGUCACGGUGACUUUUGUUUGUUAGGACUGGUUCUGUUAAUGGUAACAUUUUACAGCAAAAUUAGCCAGGAGUACUUUUGUUACGCAGGAGUUAAGACUGGGCCACAUGCUCAUGAUGCGUUUGUGCGUAUUUAUUUAUAGAUAACACACACAUGCGUAACUGCUGCUAGCUAAUAUCAAAAGGUACCUUAUAUACCCAGGAAUUUUACAAAUGCAAACAACAACAGCAGCAGCAUGGUCCCAGAACAAGUAAGCACACGCACAGUGCCCAGCUCUUGGUGUCUAAUUCCAUGCUCCAAUAUAUAAAGGACCAUAAUUCCUUAGGUCAACAACUGGUUCUAGAACCAGGCAGAAAGUGUCCAAGAUAAAUGCAAAGUGUUUAAUCUUACAAGUGGCAAUGUCCUCAAACAUUAACCUCAUGGAGGGUUCCCGGUGGUCGGAGCGAGGGAGUCUUCUGAGCAAGAGAAUAAAUGAAAUCGUAUAGUACGCAGCAGACUGUGUACAGCCAACAUCCACGAGAGACCAUGCAAGUCAGUGGCUUGGAUAAGUAAAUGGGCAAGAAGAGACACAUUUCUUGUGUAGGGAUCCACCGGUCAUGUCGGAAGUCCAUCAUCACCAAAGUAGAACUUCGCUCCCUACUCAAGGUGGGCUGUGCCUGUGACCGACUGACUGCCUUCCGAAGGGCUGGAAAUCAUGAUCUCAGCAAGGCGACCCGGACAGACAUCACAUGGGUGGCUCAGGUGUAAAGAGUCUGUUGUGGAAAUGAGUUAAUGAAGCAGCGUUUGGUCUGUGCAAACUUCCUUCUGGCCUAAGGACUAGCAAAGAGGAAACACAGGGCGCAUUGGGUAAAGAAGGAAGAGCCCGCUCUGUGAACUCCUCCAGUGGAAAUACCCCUCGGGAUCCGAUGUCUCACAGUCAGCACCACCUGACCUAGCUUCCUUCACGGCCUGUCAGCCACUGGUUUAGAUCUGACACACCCCCAAUCUCUCCUUCCGUCUCCUUUGCCUGGAGUUUAUCGCUGUCUCCCUGCUGGAUCCUUGACCUACCAUCAUGGCCUGUUCUAGGGAUGUGUGUAUAGCAUCUCCUGUGCGGCCAGUGCAGCAGAAUCAGGGCCGUGAUUUAGUUCUUCCUCACACAGCAGGUAAGCUGCGAAAGAUCCUGGAAUGUGUCACGGCUCCAAGCUAGAACAAGCUUUCCGUCUUCCAACCACAGCUGCCAUCUUUUUCCGGCUGCCUUAAACCUGGUUUUGAGGGGAGAAGAAACAGAAACUUUGGAAGUUCUGAUCAAAUGAUGAACUGAAGGUCUUAUUGUAUCUAACGUUUCCCUCCCUGCCUCCUAGGACCAUCUCAUCUUGGAGUGACUAGAGAUGGGGCUUAACCAGGAAGAUUUUGGGGCUGCCUGUGGGUGGGUUGGGACGCAGAAAUGGGAGUCCUUCAUCUCUGGGCUUACCAGCCACUUUGGUCCUCACUAUUGCUGGGCUCACUUCUCACCAUAGCAAGAGUCACAGAUUCCAAGUCUCUGCUUGGCAUCAAGUCACAUCUAGAAUUUCUACCCUGGAGGCUUCCCCACUGACGGUCUGGUUUCAAAAUCUGGGCUGUGUUUUCAAAUAGCAUUUCAACACCUUGGGGAAUGACAUCAUGGCAAGAGUGACGGUGUUAGCUCAAGUGUUGGUACAGGGGGUGACAGGGAGAAAUGACACACACCCAGUGAGUUGGCCGCUCGGUGAAGGGCAGCAGAGAAAGCGCCACCACCUCUCAGUGAUACUUUUCCACAAAGAUUUAAUUAAACCAUGGCAGGGUCAGUAUUUAUUGCAUGCUGCCAGCCUCUUCCUUUGGAUGGACACUGUGGAGUGUCAGUCGGGCUUCAGGGGCAGUUGGAGCUCCUGGGGGCGGGGCAGCAUUGAGAAUGCUGUGAAAUUCCUUCUGGGGGUGGCAUUCGGUGCUGAGUGUCUGUCUGGGGAAAGCGGCACACUUGUGCACAGUGGCUUUGCACACCAGAAAAGGGAUUCAGAGGUUGCGUUCCACAUUCAUUUUCUUCUCUUCCCCGCCAGCUUCUUCUUUCCUUUCAAGAAGGAAAGGCUAUGGCGGACAGUGGUUUCCGCCGUUACUCAAAUACAUGGUGGGUUUGAGUUAUAAUUCUUCUGUUUAGGUUAACUAUUGGCAACAUUGCUGGCUUCGCUCUUAUUUAUGGAGUACUCAUAUUAGAAGUGGAACUUCCAACUUUUUCACUCACCUCUACAAAACUCCCAGGGAGGUGGUGUUCCCGUCUCUAUUUUAAAUGGUUGAACAGAUGGA
This is a long non-coding RNA of Mesocricetus auratus (golden hamster), 3422 nucleotides long. RefSeq lists it as uncharacterized. The transcript has 2 exons. The record is from RefSeq and is a predicted model, not a curated record. NCBI's taxonomy places the organism in Eukaryota, Metazoa, Chordata, Mammalia, Rodentia, Cricetidae.